RNAcentral lists this unclassified non-coding RNA (148 nucleotides) under soil metagenome. RNAcentral's name for it is "partial internal transcribed spacer 1". The record is from RNAcentral.
CCGAGUUUACAACUCCCAAACCCCUGUGAACAUACCACUUGUUGCCUCGGCGGAUCAGCCCGCUCCCGGUAAAACGGGACGGCCCCGCCAGAGGACCCCUAAACUCUGUUUCUAUAUGUAACUUCUGAGUAAAACCAUAAAUAAAUCA